GAACAGGGCAGAGGAACCAGCAGUAACUUUACCAUUGUGGAUUAUAACUUAUUGUUACAGUUAUAAUAAUGAUGGUAAUGUAUCAGUGAGGCACCAGGAGGCAUGGGCAGUUAGUGACAGUUAGAGUUGUGCGUGAGGAGAAGGGGCAGGAGACAGCUGCUGGCAGGAGGAGGCGCACACUGCAGCCGUUACCUCAGUGCCUCAUACAGCUGAAAAUGAGAGAGGGUCUGCAUGUGUGACAGAGGCAGAAAUGCUGAAGAACCACAAAGCCCAGCAAGGGGAGAUGGACGCUUCAGUGCCGAUACUGUGAGAGCCUGUGAGGCUAAUGGUGAAACGAGCUGCGAGUUGCCUUCUUGUAUCCUUGAUCAGCCUGAAAGAGGGAGCCUGCCUGGCACUCCUGCUCUUUUGUACCUCCCAGGCUCCAUCCAGCAGCAGGGACUUGGAGGAAAGAGUCGGACAACAGGCUGGCUGGCUGGGGCGUAUGGUCUACUGGUGGCACAGGAGUGAGUCGUAAUCAGCGGCAGGGACGUCACCUGUGGAGUGAGUGACUGCAAGAAAAGACUGACUGUCCGUGACCACUGUGGUGCUGCAGCUGCUGAAGCUGUUAAUUUAUAAAUUCUAUGUUUAUUAAAUAAAGGGAUGUUAAGUAUCA
This is a long non-coding RNA of Pseudophryne corroboree (corroboree frog), 652 nucleotides long. RefSeq lists it as uncharacterized. Lineage: Eukaryota; Metazoa; Chordata; Amphibia; Anura; Myobatrachidae. The record is from RefSeq and is a predicted model, not a curated record. The transcript has 3 exons.